This 60-nucleotide microRNA precursor is filed under the name Gekko japonicus. RNAcentral describes it as "Gja-Mir-190-P3_pre stem-loop". It matches the Rfam family "mir-190 microRNA precursor family", at positions 10 to 69 of the family's 78-position model. The record is from RNAcentral. Lineage: Eukaryota; Metazoa; Chordata; Lepidosauria; Squamata; Gekkonidae.
UGAUAUGUUUGAUAUUAGGUUGUUCUAUUGGGUAUCCAACUAAAUAUCAAACAUAUUCUG